RNAcentral lists this transfer RNA (73 nucleotides) under Camelus bactrianus (Bactrian camel). It matches the Rfam family "tRNA". From Rfam's summary of the family: Transfer RNA (tRNA) molecules are approximately 80 nucleotides in length. Their secondary structure includes four short double-helical elements and three loops (D, anti-codon, and T loops). Lineage: Eukaryota; Metazoa; Chordata; Mammalia; Artiodactyla; Camelidae. RNAcentral also lists the same sequence under 1 other name. The record is from Rfam by way of RNAcentral.
GGGGUUAUAGCUCAGUAGUAGAGCACAUGCUUAGCAUGCAUGAAAUCUGGGGUUCAAUUCCCCAGUACCUCCA